Molecule: transfer RNA, 73 nt
Filed under: Arthrobacter caoxuetaonis
Lineage: Bacteria; Bacillati; Actinomycetota; Actinomycetes; Micrococcales; Micrococcaceae
Description: Arthrobacter sp. zg-Y453 tRNA-Phe
Rfam family: tRNA
About the family: Transfer RNA (tRNA) molecules are approximately 80 nucleotides in length. Their secondary structure includes four short double-helical elements and three loops (D, anti-codon, and T loops). Further hydrogen bonds mediate the characteristic L-shaped molecular structure. tRNAs have two regions of fundamental functional importance: the anti-codon, which is responsible for specific mRNA codon recognition, and the 3' end, to which the tRNAs corresponding amino acid is attached (by aminoacyl-tRNA synthetases). tRNAs cope with the degeneracy of the genetic code in two manners: having more than one tRNA (with a specific anti-codon) for a particular amino acid; and 'wobble' base-pairing, i.e. permitting non-standard base-pairing at the 3rd anti-codon position.
Source: RNAcentral
GCCGCUGUAGCUCAGUUGGUAGAGCGCUCGACUGAAAAUCGAGAGGUCGCCGGUUCGAAGCCGGCCGGUGGCA